Zootermopsis nevadensis is the source of this 73-nucleotide non-coding RNA. The record is from Rfam. NCBI's taxonomy places the organism in Eukaryota, Metazoa, Arthropoda, Insecta, Blattodea, Termopsidae.
GCCAAGGUGGUCUAGCGGUUAGAACGCUGGCCUUGUAAUCCUGGGGUCUCGGGUUCGAUUCCCGGCGGUGCCC